UAGGGAAUCUUCCACAAUGGACGCAAGUCUGAUGGAGCAACGCCGCGUGAGUGAAGAAGAUCUUCGGAUCGUAAAACUCUGUCGUUAGAGAAGAACACGAGUGAGAGUAACUGUUCAUUCGAUGACGGUAUCUAACCAGCAAGUCACGGCUAACUACGUGCCA
Molecule: ribosomal RNA, 163 nt
Filed under: uncultured bacterium
Lineage: Bacteria
Description: partial 16S rRNA
Rfam family: Bacterial small subunit ribosomal RNA
Source: RNAcentral